Long non-coding RNA from Etheostoma cragini (Arkansas darter), 114 nucleotides. RefSeq lists it as uncharacterized. The transcript has 3 exons. Lineage: Eukaryota; Metazoa; Chordata; Actinopteri; Perciformes; Percidae. The record is from RefSeq and is a predicted model, not a curated record.
CAAGCAUCUAUCCAAAAUUCAAGCACUUUUCAAACUUUGAAAACACAACAUCAAAAUUCAAGCAUUUUCAAGGAUUUCAAGCACCCGUACGAACCCUGCUGCUAACAAUCAACA